RNAcentral lists this ribosomal RNA (253 nucleotides) under uncultured bacterium. RNAcentral's name for it is "partial 16S ribosomal RNA". It matches the Rfam family "Bacterial small subunit ribosomal RNA", at positions 524 to 776 of the family's 1533-position model. The record is from RNAcentral.
UACGUAGGGGGCAAGCGUUGUCCGGAGUUAUUGGGCGUAAAGCGCGCGCAGGCGGCCUCGCGCGCCCGACGUGAAAGCCCCCGGCUUAACCGGGGAGGGUCGUUGGGGACGGCGGGGCUUGAGGGCGGGAGAGGUCGGUGGAAUUCCCGGUGUAGUGGUGAAAUGCGUAGAGAUCGGGAGGAACACCUGUGGCGAAGGCGGCCGACUGGGCCGACCCUGACGCUGAGGCGCGAAAGCUAGGGGAGCAAACGGG